UUUGAAUCACACGAUUUAGACAGUUGUAAAGAUUGGUGAUCAUGAUUGUGUGGUAACUGUACAUACCGAUUAUGAACCAGGAAAAGAAACUAACGCUAGCUCACAGUUCUUUCAGAAAAACAUAAAAGUGCUAACUGGCAGUUAUAUUUCCACCCACCACUCCUAGUUGUGACUUCCUAAAAGAAAUGGGAACAAAAAUGAUAUUACAGCCUCAUGUCCCUUCCUUGUUUGGCCGUUAUAUUCCGCAUGUUCCUUCCCUGAACAAAAGAGAUCAAUAGUGAGCAUUAAAGACCCCUGAAAACUCAAUAGGAUAUACACCAUAGCAGUACCUGGCCCUAUUUUCAUAUUCAAUACACAUCACCAAAUUCUAAUAGUAAUCAAGGUUGAAUUAAAAUCGUACAUAAAGUUUUUGUAGUUAGAGACAGGACCGAGUUGGAAUAGUAUAGAGAAAAUCAAACUUUAUCCUACCAUUACACUCAAGAAACAUGGCUCACUUAUCAUAUGAACAUAAACAUACUGAGCAAUUUAUUUACCUUCAGAUGUCCAUUCUCUAUAUUUCCGCUUUGCAAAUGAUCCUAGUUUAAAGCAUGAUAUCCUUUGGAAUCAUCAC
This 610-nucleotide long non-coding RNA is filed under the name Triticum aestivum (bread wheat). RNAcentral describes it as "long non-coding RNA (TAES_LNC022335)". The record is from RNAcentral. Lineage: Eukaryota; Viridiplantae; Streptophyta; Magnoliopsida; Poales; Poaceae.